Long non-coding RNA from Myotis brandtii (Brandt's bat), 843 nucleotides. RefSeq lists it as uncharacterized. NCBI's taxonomy places the organism in Eukaryota, Metazoa, Chordata, Mammalia, Chiroptera, Vespertilionidae. The transcript has 7 exons. The record is from RefSeq and is a predicted model, not a curated record.
AGAACAUGGCGGGCAUCGGCUGCAGCGGGAUGGUGGAGCAGCAGCUCAAAAGGACUAAGACACAGGUUUUUCAAGUCCCUGCUGCGUUGGGAGCUCUCUGAGGCCUUUGUAUUUCAGUUUCACUCAUCAAGUCAUUCUCUGUGGAAAGGCUAAUCUGCAAAAAUCUACUCCAACCUUAUCAGAAGUGGACACCUAAGUGGAAAUUUUGGGUGGUCAUUUAACCUGGCCGUUUCUGUGUCCACUUGUCGACUUGUCCACUUGCUGAGCAUAUCCCAAACUCCCUCAUGCCUCUUUUGGAGGUGAACUGUGAAAUAAACUAGGUCAUUUGGAGUUAAAAACAAAGAAAGGAGAGAAGAAGAAGUUUUCUGCUGGCUUUUGAGGUCUUUGAAUGUUAAGCAUCUUUUGCUGUGGAAGGAAAAGUAUGCCUGCUAAAGGGUUUUCUGACAUCAGGGAGCUGGUUGGGAAGGUUUUUAAGCUCCUGAGUUACCCCUGACAGAGGAGACCCUGGGCUGUGUGGACCUUUGGUCUUCCCUGCAAGCAUCUCAGAUAAUUUUCAGAUUAGCAGCACACAGAAGCAAAACCCGUGUAAAAAGCUGAAGUGAAACGCCCAGUUCUCCACAUGACACAUGCCUGUACUACACUGUGACUGGCAGGUACCUACUGCUUUCUCAGCAAACCUUGGUUCUUGUUUGAUCUGCAGAGCUUUGGCAUAGAGACAAUUCUGUGUUUCUCCCAUGAAGCAAAGACACAAGUCUUGUUGACUGAUGGCAAUUAAUCAUAAUGAGGAUACCUUGACUGUAACAUGGACACUGAACAUAGGAUAUUAUCUGCUCAUAAUAAGAC